RNAcentral lists this ribosomal RNA (253 nucleotides) under uncultured bacterium. Its description in RNAcentral is "partial 16S ribosomal RNA". It matches the Rfam family "Bacterial small subunit ribosomal RNA", at positions 524 to 776 of the family's 1533-position model. The record is from RNAcentral.
UACGAAGGGGGCGAGCGUUGUUCGGAUUUACUGGGCGUAAAGAGCUCGUAGGCGGUUUGUCGCGUCUGCCGUGAAAGUCCGGGGCUCAACUCCGGAUCUGCGGUGGGUACGGGCAGACUAGAGUGAUGUAGGGGAGACUGGAAUUCCUGGUGUAGCGGUGAAAUGCGCAGAUAUCAGGAGGAACACCGGUGGCGAAGGCGGGUCUCUGGGCCGAUACUGACGCUGAGGAGCGAAAGCGUGGGGAGCGAACAGG